RNAcentral lists this ribosomal RNA (492 nucleotides) under uncultured bacterium. RNAcentral's name for it is "partial 16S ribosomal RNA". It matches the Rfam family "Bacterial small subunit ribosomal RNA", at positions 29 to 507 of the family's 1533-position model. The record is from RNAcentral.
AGUGAACGCUGGCGGUAGGCCUAACACAUGCAAGUCGAACGGCCGCACAGUAAGAGCUUGCUCUUACGGGUGGCGAGUGGCGGACGGGUGAGGAAUACAUCGGAAUCUACUUUUUCGUGGGGGAUAACGUAGGGAAACUUACGCUAAUACCGCAUACGACCUACGGGUGAAAGCAGGGGAUCUUCGGACCUUGCGCGAUUGAAUGAGCCGAUGUCGGAUUAGCUAGUUGGCGGGGUAAAGGCCCACCAAGGCGACGAUCCGUAGCUGGUCUGAGAGGAUGAUCGGCCACACUAGAACUGAGACACCGUCCAGACUCCUACGGGAGGCAGCAGUGGGGAAUAUUGGACAAUGGGCGCAAGCCUGAUCCAGCCAUACCGCGUGAGUGAAGAAGGCCUUCGGGUUGUAAAGCCCUUUUGUUGGGAAAGAAAAGCAGCAGGUUAAUACCCCGCUGUUCUGACGGUACCCAAAGAAUAAGCACCGGCUAACUUCGUG